GGCAGGCCUAACACAUGCAAGUCGAACGAGUGGCGGACGGGUGAGUAAUGUCUGGGAAACUGCCUGAUGGAGGGGGAUAACUACUGGAAACGGUAGCCAAUACCGCAUACCAUCGGAUGUGCCCAGAUGGGAUUAGCUAGUAGGUGGGGUAAAGGCUCACCUAGGCGACGAUCCCUAGCUGGUCUGAGAGGAUGACCAGCCACACUGGAACUGAGACACGGUCCAGACUCCUACGGGAGGCAGCAGUGGGGAAUAUUGCACAAUGGGCGCAAGCCUGAUGCAGCCAUGCCGCGUGUAUGAAGAAGGCCUUCGGGUUGUAAAGUACUUUCAGCGGGGAGGCGUUACCCGCAGAAGAAGCACCGGCUAACUCCGUGCCAGCAGCCGCGGUAAUACGGAGGGUGCAAGCGUUAAUCGGAAUUACUGGGCGUAAAGCGCACGCAGGCGGUUUGUUAAGUCAGAUGUGAAAUCCCCGGGCUCAACCUGGGAACUGCAUCUGAUACUGGCAAGCUUGAGUCUCGUAGAGGGGGGUAGAAUUCC
This 537-nucleotide ribosomal RNA is filed under the name uncultured bacterium. Its description in RNAcentral is "bacterial SSU rRNA". It matches the Rfam family "Bacterial small subunit ribosomal RNA", at positions 41 to 670 of the family's 1533-position model. The record is from RNAcentral.